This 422-nucleotide ribosomal RNA is filed under the name uncultured beta proteobacterium. RNAcentral's name for it is "bacterial SSU rRNA". It matches the Rfam family "Bacterial small subunit ribosomal RNA", at positions 1061 to 1481 of the family's 1533-position model. Lineage: Bacteria; Pseudomonadati; Pseudomonadota; Betaproteobacteria. The record is from RNAcentral.
CGUGUUGUGAGAUGUUGGGUUAAGUCCCGCAACGAGCGCAACCCUUGUCCUUAUUUGCUUCCUCGUAUGAGGUGCUCUAUAAGGAGACUGCCGGCGACAAGCCGGAGGAAGGAGGGGACGACGUCAGGUCCUCAUGGCCCUUAUGGGUAGGGCUUCACACGUCAUACAAUGGUGCGUACAGAGGGUUGCCAACCCGCGAGGGGGAGCUAAUCCCAGAAAACGCAUCGUAGUCCGGAUCGUAGUCUGCAACUCGACUACGUGAAGCUGGAAUCGCUAGUAAUCGCGGAUCAGCAUGCCGCGGUGAAUACGUUCCCGGGUCUUGUACACACCGCCCGUCACGCCACGGAAGCUGGUGUUUUCGGAAGUCCUCAAGCUAACCCGCAAGGGAGGCAGAGGCCGAUGAAAACAUCGGUAACUGGGGC